GUCUAUGUGAUGAUAUAUAUAGUCUAACCUGCCCCCUGAAUUUUUUUAAAGGCCGCAGUAUACUAACUGUGCAAAGGUAGCAUAAUAAUUAGUUUUUUAAUUGAAAACUUGAAUGAAAGGUUGGACGAAGAACAAACUUUCUUUAAUUUUAAUUUAAAAUUUUACUUUUAAGUGAAAAGGCUUAAAUAUUUUUAAAAGACGAUAAGACCCUAUAAAACUUUAUAAAAAAAAUAAUUUUUUCUUUUAUAUUGUGUUUAAAAAUCUAAAUUAUCUAAUUUUAUUAUGUUGGGGCGACAAGAAUAAAUAACUUCCAAUAAACUGUUCUUUUUUAUAAACAAAAAUAAUUGAGAUUUAAAAGAUCCUUUAAUUAAAGAUUAUAAAUUUAAGUUACUUUAGGGAUAACAGCGUAAUUUUUUUUAAGAGUCCAUAUCGAAAAAAAAGUUUACGACCUCGAUGUUGAAUUAAAAUUUCUUUAUUAGUGCAGAAGCUAUAUAAGUAAGUCUGUUCGACUUUUAAAAUUUU
RNAcentral lists this ribosomal RNA (522 nucleotides) under Phylladiorhynchus laureae. RNAcentral's name for it is "partial large subunit ribosomal RNA". The stretch from base 398 to 522 matches the Rfam family "Archaeal large subunit ribosomal RNA", at positions 2542 to 2666 of the family's 2987-position model. The record is from RNAcentral. Lineage: Eukaryota; Metazoa; Arthropoda; Malacostraca; Decapoda; Galatheidae.